Molecule: RNA transcript, 4986 nt
Organism: Diabrotica virgifera virgifera (western corn rootworm)
Lineage: Eukaryota; Metazoa; Arthropoda; Insecta; Coleoptera; Chrysomelidae
Exons: 4
Source: RefSeq, a predicted model, not a curated record
UGAAAUUUACGAGACUUGCUCGACCUGUAGAUUCUUGUGUUCAAGAGUUGUUUUUUAAGUUUAUGUUUUAAAUGUUUAUGUUUAUGAACUAAAAAUGAAAUGGAAAUGCAUUGUAAUGUAAGAUUGUAUGUCUGCAAAGGCAAACAUAACUGAAAUUGGUACAACAUAAAUCAAAUUUAAUAACAUGGAAGUAAAACAGGAAACUAGUGAGAGUGAGGAAACUUCUUGUAAAAUAGAAUUAGAUAAUGAAGAGUUUGAUCAUGGUACUGAUGGUACCUUGGAUGACUUCAAAAUUGAAAUUGAGAAAGAACCCAAGAGAGAACCCGCCUACAACGCAUUUGAUUAUUUAUACAUUCCUGAAAAGGCUAAAGUAGAACAAGAUGAAUAUAAAUUUAAUAUAUGUGAAGAAACCCAAACAACAAAUGAAGAAAAAAUGUCCACUUUGUGAGUAUCGGAGUUCAUUGAAAAAAAAUUAAUUAGUCACUUUGAAGUAAAUCAUGAUAUUCAAAUUAUCAGAAGUUAUACCAAUUUUGCUAAAAUUGAGGAGUUCAAAGAGUACUUAAAAACAAUCGAGAAAAAUACAAAGUCUCGUUUUGUGAAAAAAAUAUCAACCACAAAUAUUUUAAAAUUUGACUGUAAUAGGUCCGGGGAGUAUGUGCCUAUAAAGAAUAGAAAUCGGGCACUGGAAAUGAAUGGCAGUAACAAAAUAAAUGCAUUUUGUCCUGCAUCACUAACAGUGCGCAUUAACAAGAAUGGAACCUAUCAGUGUGAAUUUUUAGAAAAUCAUAUAGGACAUACCAAUGAUAUGGGACAUUUUUUUUUUAAGUGAAGAAGAUAGAAAUAAUUUUGCAGUCAAAAUCGCUUCAAAAAUACCAUUCGAUGCUAUUUUGGAUAACGUUAGGGAUGCAGUUGAGGGAGACUAUGUAGAUAGGCUUCAUUUGCUUACCAAAAGGGACUUAUACAAUAUUGAGAAGUCAUUUAAUUUAAAUUCAGUUCGUCAUUGUAAUGAUGCAGUUAGUGUUGACUCUUUAGUCAAUGAAAUGAGCAAAGAGGAAAAUAAUUGUGUCCUGUUUUAUAAACCUCAGGAUAGCCUAAGCAAGGAUUAUAGUCAGCUGAAAAAAGAAGACUUUAUUUUAAUUAUAAUGAACUCAGUACAACGUCAUCUGUUGAAAAAGUACGGAUCAGAUUGUAUUUGCUUAGACGGUACACACGGUACCAAUGGAUACAAUUUUGAAUUAAUUACCUUAUUGGUUAUUGACGAUAUGCGACAACUCUUUCCCUGUGCUUUUAUGAUUACUGAUUACUAAUAGAUGUGAUAAAGAUACUUUAAAAAUAUUCUUCUCCUCAAUAAAAGCAUUCUCUGAUGUCAUUACUCCAGCUGUUUUUAUGACAGAUAUUGCAGAGUCAUUUUAUAAUGCUUGGAUAGAAACCAUGGGAACACCAGUGUCUAGUUGGCAUGUAGAUCGUGCUUGGAGAAAAAAUUUCAACAAAGUCGAUGGCAAAGAAAAACAGGUUCUGGUUUAUAAACAAAUAAGAUGCCUUAUGGAGGAAAGGGAUGUCUCUGCUUUUACGACAGUGAAGGACGAGCUAUGUAAACAACUUCUUGAAAACCCCGACACUACCGAAUUUGCGAAAUAUUUUAUUGACAAUUUAUGCAAAAUUUCAAGUGUUGGGCAUAUUGCUAUCGUUUACACGCUGGAAUAAAUACAACACCGCCUUCUUCGUCAUCGCAUAAGAAUAGAGGGAUCCGAACUUGAAUUUGUGCCUGUACUGGAAACCACUGGCUUAGGAUUUAUAUAAGUUAUUUAGCAAAACAGAAUGAACUGGGAAUACCUUUGGAAGAUAUGAGAGGACAAGGGUAUGAUAAUGGGGCAAACAUGAAAGGAAAGAACUUGGGAGUUCAAAACAGAAUUUUGAAAAUGAAUCCAAGAGCAUUUUUUGUCCCACGUUCUAGCCAUUCACUCAACUUAGUCGUGAACGAUGCUGCUAAAGUCUCACAGGUUGCAGUUUCUUUCUUUUCCUUAGUGACAAAAAUUUACAACUUGUUCUCAGCAUCUAUUCAUCGCUAGGCUAUACUGAAAAAUCAUACUUCUAGCAUAACAUUAAAACCUUUUGUCCGAAACUAGAUGGAAAAGUAGAAUUGAUGCAAUUACUCCGAUCAGAUACCAAAUUGAAGAAAUCUACGAUGCUCUUGUAGAAAUCACUGUCAAUAAAAACAACGAUAAAAUGGCUGCUCUUGAGGCAAACUGUUUAGUAAAUCAAAUCCGUGAUUUUACUGUUCUUUGCUCUGUGGUAAUAUGGCAUGACAUUUUACUUCACAUCAGCGUAGUCAGCAAAUCACUGCAGAGUAUUGAUAUUGGGAAUGUAUCAAUCUGUCAGUUUAUUAGAAAAAACGGAAAUCCAUUUUUAAGUCUCUCAGAAGUGAUUUAAAAUUCCAGGGCUAUUUGACGGACGCAAAAGAUCUGGCAUCAAAUUUAGAAAUUGAGAACCCGAAAAUCGGAGGCACAGUAAUAGCAAGAAGGAAAGUGAAAAGACAAUUUGGCUAUGAGACUGAAGAUGAAAAUAUGGACCUAGAUCCAGAGACACGAGAUAAGGAUGACUUCUAUUUAAAAAUUAUAUAUACACAACUGUUAAUGCAUUAAGUGAUAAAUUUCAGCAAAUUAAGAGCCAUGGGGAAAUUUUUGAGUUUUUUACGACAUAAACCAAAUUAAGGAGCUGACUGCUAGUGAUUUAUCAGAUAAAUGUUUUAAGCUAUGUGAUGCUUCAACUUUUGAUGAGCCAAAAGGUCUAAAUUCUGCUGAUCUAAAUGAUGCACUCAUUCUUUUUAGAGAAUGUGAAGCCCAAGAGUACACCUCUAGAGACGCUAAAAAUGAUUAGAGAGUAUGAACUUAAUUUCGCAACCAACGUUAGUGUUGCUUUGAGGAUUUUAUUAACCCUACCAGUGACAGUGGCCUCUGGGGAGAGAAGCUUUUCAAAGCUAAAGCUAAUAAAAAAUUACUUAAGAUCAACUAUGUCCCAUGAACGUUUGAGUGCUCUAGAGACAAUCCCUAUUUAACACGAAAUAGCUGAGUCCCUGGAUCUUGGAGAAUUAUUAAAAGACUUCUCCCGUGCCGAUGCAAGAAGAGUGCUACUUACUUACAAGCGUGUUUUUAAGCGUGUAUCGUUGAAAUAAAUUGGAAAAUGGGAUACUAAAUAAUUUAGCACAAAGCACACGACAAUAAAAAUACAAUCGUGAUUUACAUUGGCGAUCGCUGAAGGAAGGUGGUGAUUAAUGGAUCUACCAAAGGGGGUGGGGCGGCGCUAGCAAAUCUUGCCCAGGGCGGCCAAAUCCCUAUGGCCGGCCUGGUCCCGAUUAAACCCCGGUUAGCUAAUCGGGGCAGAAAGUACCGGCCCUAGAUCAGUUAAUCAGUGUUCUUAUAUUGCAAUAAUAAUCCUCUAAUUUAUAGAAAAUCUAAUAAUAUUUUAAUAUUAUUCGACACUUCCCAGAAAACUUCUGCGCCUUUUAAGGACUUGUCAGAAAUUUUUCAUUUUAUUUGUGUUCAAAUAAUAAUAGGUUUGUUCUAACAAACAGUCAAACUAGUCAGAAACCGUCAGCAAACAGUUGGUCAGUGAGAGAACAUAAUACAGUCACUAGUGCUAUCCCCUCUACUUGCGCUGGUCGACUAUUCGCUGAUGGUUUCAAACCGUUUGAAACUGAUGCUAGAACAAACCUAAUAAUGUAUAGAUAAUAUUAGUAGUUUCAUGGAUCUAAAUCGAACAAAUGCCUAGGUAUUAUACAGAUCCAUAGACUCCUACCAGUGAAACAAUGUGUUGAUUUGUCUACAAGACACAGUUUGUUGUAAACACCCUGCACAAUUCAAAUUAAUUUGACAUAUUACAUAUUCAUCUAUCACUAGGUAUGCAAUAAUUACAAUAGAAACGAUAUUUUUAAUUUUAUCGUCAUAAAAGUAAAUAAUACCUAGUCUGAAUAAUAUUGGCUACAACUCUGGUAACCCAUUAAUUAUAAUAGACUAUAUAGUAAAAUAGAAAAACAAUUAUUUCUUAUUGUAUGUAAACAAUAAUUUGAUAACCUAACUACUUGUGAGAUUUAAAAUUGUGCUCCUGUGCCGGAAGAUGGCUGAGGAAUUCUAGGUAUCCUCUUGUGUUUAGGGCAACCAAACAUAACCAAUUUGUAGUUAACAUUUGAUGUAAGCUAAAAAUAUUGACAGGGUUGUCAUAUUAUAAAAUAUUUCUCACUGUAAAACCUAAAAUUCAAAAUCGGAUAAGAACACAAUAUGUAAUUUAAAAAUCAAAAGCAAAUUAAUGUUAGAUAGAAAUAGGCCAGGGUAAUAAGACAAAAAUAUACCCUGUUCGUGACACUUCAACAGCCAGGGUACUGAAGCGUUUUUUCGACAGGUAAUACCUAUUGGCUCCGUGCGUCUCCCCUCUACGUACAGUCACGUGAUACGCUGUCAGAUUUUGUAAGGACGUUUUAACAUUGAGUCUUAUGGGAUCAUUUUGUUAAACUUGAAUAUUUUAUUUUGUAGUGAUAAUAACCGAAUACAAUUGUUAGAAUUCAUUAGUUAUUAAUUUAUACUGUAAUUUAUAGUGCAACAAGAUAUUUUCUUUUUCGUUAAUAAAUAUUUAUUGACAUAAACUGCGAUAGUGAGGUUAUGCAUACAAAAUCAAACUGAUAAUAAAUAUUGGAAAGUGAAGAAUUUAUAGUGCGUUUUUAUUUUCUGUUUAUAUUAAUACAUAAUAUCACUAGCGUGGCACGGCAUUUUUUUAAAUGUCUCAUUUAAACAUACACAAAGCGUCCUUAUAAAAUUUCAAAAAACCGCCACCAUGAGCAGGUCGGUCGAUUUUGCUUUGACACUUUGUUAACGCUCGGAGCGAAUAAGAACAAAUUGGUAACUAUUUCCUGCUUAGGAUCUGGCGGCCAUUUUUAUUUAUAAACAGUUUAGUGUCAAAAAACGGCAUUUUUUCCUUUUUUUUUUCAAAUCAAUG